ACAGGUCAAAUUACUCAUGGCAGUGGCCCACCUAAAGCUCUGCAGGUCAGGUACAAUGCCUAAACUUCAGUGUGCAGCAUCAUCCCCUCAUCCACUGCUGACUGCUUUCCAUACAACCAGAGGGACAGGUCCCUUAGGGAACAGAAAUUGUAUAGAGAGAAGGAGGCAGAUACGGCUCAGGAGAGGGGGGAGGUACCUGCCAAGGCUGAGUACACAAGCCACCGUCCCAUGCAGACAGUACCAAUGCUCUUGGCUAACACCAUCAAAGCUGACAUUCUCUGCAGUGAGAGGACACAAAAGACUGACAUUCACCUCAGUGGAGGAGUUUGUGUAAGGUCUGAUGACAGAUUUUCCUGGCCUCUCUGCCCUGAUGCAAACCCAGGACUCCCCUAAGUCACAGGAGGUCAGAAGAGGAGCUGGAUUUCUUCCAAACACAACAAAUUGCAGCACUUUGGACAACUGCUCCUACCCUUUGCUGUAAACACCCUCAUCCUGGACCUACAUGACCAUACAGUCCAGCAAGAUCUGAAUCUUCUCCAUUUGUCAAGAAAACCCAGUACAGCAGUUUCUUGCAAAGCUGAUGGCAUUUUCAUGUU
RNAcentral lists this long non-coding RNA (596 nucleotides) under Cyanistes caeruleus (blue tit). RNAcentral's name for it is "lncRNA (ENSCCEG00000000489.1)". Lineage: Eukaryota; Metazoa; Chordata; Aves; Passeriformes; Paridae. The record is from RNAcentral.